UCUGCCUUAUCGGCAAGCGGUCUGGCUAGAGUGCCCAACUUAAUGCUGGCAACUAACCACAAGGGUUGCGCUCGUUGCGGGACUUAACCCAACAUCUCACGACACGAGCUGACGACAGCCAUGCAGCACCUGUCACCGCGUCCCCGAAGGGAUUUCACUGCUUUCACAGAUAUGCGCGGGAUGUCAAGCCUAGGUAAGGUUUUGCGCGUUGCAUCGAAUUAAACCACAUAAUCCACCGCUUGUGCGGGCCCCCGUCAAUUUCUUUGAGUUUUAACCUUGCGGCCGUACUCCCCAGGCGGGAUACUUAACGCGUUAGCUUCGACACCGAGAGGGUAAGAACUCCCGACAUCUAGUAUCCAUCGUUUACGGUGUGGACUAC
Molecule: unclassified non-coding RNA, 379 nt
Filed under: uncultured delta proteobacterium
Lineage: Bacteria; Deltaproteobacteria
Description: contains 16S-23S intergenic spacer region
Source: RNAcentral